RNAcentral lists this ribosomal RNA (956 nucleotides) under uncultured Desulfobacula sp. RNAcentral describes it as "bacterial SSU rRNA". It matches the Rfam family "Bacterial small subunit ribosomal RNA", at positions 8 to 933 of the family's 1533-position model. Lineage: Bacteria; Pseudomonadati; Thermodesulfobacteriota; Desulfobacteria; Desulfobacterales; Desulfobacteraceae. The record is from RNAcentral.
AGAGUUUGAUCCUGGCUCAGAAUAGANCGCUGGCGGCGGUGCUUAACACAUUGCAAGUCGAACGAGAAAGGGAUUGCUUGCAAUCCUGAGUAGAGUGGCGCACGGGUGAGUAACACGUAGAUAAUCUACCUCCAAGCCUGGGAUAACUAUUCGAAAGGGUAGCUAAUACCGGAUAAAGUAUGUUGACAAAAGUUGACCUAUGAAAGAUUGCCUCUUCUUGAAAGCAAUUGUUUGGAGAUGAGUUUGCGGACCAUUAGUUAGUUGGUAGGGUAACGGCCUACCAAGACUACGAUGGUUAGCUGGUCUGAGAGGAUGAUCAGCCACACUGGAACUGGUACACGGUCCAGACUCCUACGGGAGGCAGCAGUGAGGGAUUUUGCGCAAUGGGGGAAACCCUGACGCAGCAACGCCGCGUGAGUGAAGAAGGCCUUUGGGUCGUAAAACUCUGUCGACAGGGAAGAAAUUAUAUUUAUCCAAUAGGUGGAUAUAUUGACGGUACCUGUAGAGGAAGCACCGGCUAACUCCGUGCCAGCAGCCGCGGUAAUACGGGGGGUGCAAGCGUUAUUCGGAAUUAUUGGGCGUAAAGGGCGCGUAGGCGGUCUUGUCGGUCAGAUGUGAAAGCCCAGGGCUCAACCCUGGACGUGCAUUUGAAACAGCAAGACUUGAGUACGGGAGAGGAAAGCGGAAUUCCUGGUGUAGAGGUGAAAUUCGUAGAUAUCAGGAGGAACACCGAUGGCGAAGGCAGCUUUCUGGACCGAUACUGACGCUGAGGCGCGAAGGCGUGGGUAGCGAACAGGAUUAGAUACCCUGGUAGUCCACGCAGUAAACGAUGUUCACUAGGUGUGUCGGAUAUUAAAAUCUGAUGUGCCCAAGCUAACGCAUUAAGUGAACCGCCUGGGGAGUACGGUCGCAAGACUAAAACUCAAAGGAAUUGACGCGGGCCCCGCACAAGCGGU